AUAUACAACAAUCUGUCUUUGUCUAUUAUGUCGAUAUCACAUUUAGAAAUCAAUUAAAGUACAUUAUAACAACAAUAUGCAAACAGUUUACAUUACUCAGGGAAACUUCUUUAUUAUAGUCAAAAACGUAUUACAGUUAUACAUUAAAUUCCGAUAAUCCCGGAUAACUACCAUUUAUUUUGAAUAACUAUUGUAGCUACAUUGUAUUCAUGCCUUUUUCGGCGCAUUCUUGCAAGUUCUUUUGUUAUGCCCUUCACCUCCACAAUUGCUACAUGACACCUUGUACUUCUUUGAGUUUAUUUCAUCAAAU
Molecule: long non-coding RNA, 310 nt
Filed under: Nicotiana benthamiana
Lineage: Eukaryota; Viridiplantae; Streptophyta; Magnoliopsida; Solanales; Solanaceae
Description: long non-coding RNA (NBEN_LNC020239)
Source: RNAcentral